Molecule: long non-coding RNA, 849 nt
Filed under: Parus major (Great Tit)
Lineage: Eukaryota; Metazoa; Chordata; Aves; Passeriformes; Paridae
Description: lncRNA (ENSPMJG00000011526.1)
Source: RNAcentral
UUUCUUUCUCUCUAAUUACCCCUCUUUUUCCCCCAUACAGUCACACACAUACAUUGACUGCACAAACACUCUGAGAACAUGCCACCAAAUGGCUGGUGGUUGUCACUGUGCCAGAUGGAAAAAAACCCUGAGAUUGAUCAAGUGAUUAAUCUUGUGUUAAUAUGUAACUGAGGAAACAUGAAGAUUUUAUAAGCAAGGACAAAAAGGUAUAAUUGGAUAUGGUAACUUUUGUGUUCAACAGAAGAACUUCUGGGAAUAGGAAAAACAAGUAAUUAUAAAAACAGAAAAGGAUUAAGGAGACUGAAGGAUUGACAGCUGGAGAGAUAUUUUCCUGCGUCAGUAUGGGCAAGGACAUUGAGCAAUUUCCCUGGAGAGGACUGAUGCUACUUACUUGUUCCCCACAAGCAACCUCCCCUGCUACCUGGUGCAGCUGGCCAAGGUUGGAACUAGGAGCUCUGCAGUAAAACCCACCGUGAAAUAACAGAAACAUACUGAAGAAUUCUCUGAAAUGACCAACAAUUCUGCUGUCAAACACCAGAAACUGAUGCUUGAUUAGCAAAGCUGCAGGCCCAAGAAGAGCAAGACAAGAGAAAACAGAAGCGCUCCUGUGCUCCUGUGUGGUGGCUGCAGUGGCUUGAGACACACUUGGGAAAUCCACACCAAAGCUCCAGAGCCUGACUGCAAAAGCAAAGCUGACAACUUGGAUGAACCAGUUCACAGUUCACACUUUCCUUUGGAACACACAUAUCUAUUACAUGCCUCAGAAGCUCAAGGGCUGACCAGCAAUCUAUGGGACUCCACUUAAUAUUUCUAUUCAGUAUGGCACAGCUUCUUGUAUGGAUCUGGCCC